GGACGAACGCUGGCGGCGUGCCUAAUACAUGCAAGUUGAGCGAUGAAGAUUGGUGCUUGCACCAAUUUGAAGAGCAGCGAACGGGUGAGUAACGCGUGGGGAAUCUGCCUUUGAGCGGGGGACAACAUUUGGAAACGAAUGCUAAUACCGCAUAACAACUUUAAACAUAAGUUUUAAGUUUAAAAGAUGCAAUUGCAUCACUCAAAGAUGAUCCCGCGUUGUAUUAGCUAGUUGGUGAGGUAAAGGCUCACCAAGGCGAUGAUACAUAGCCGACCUGAGAGGGUGAUCGGCCACAUUGGGACUGAGACACGGCCCAAACUCCUACGGGAGGCAGCAGUAGGGAAUCUUCGGCAAUGGACGAAAGUCUGACCGAGCAACGCCGCGUGAGGGAAGAAGGUUUUCGGAUCGUAAAACUCUGUUGGUAGAGAAGAACGUUGGUGAGAGUGGAAAGCUCAUCAAGUGACGGUAACUACCCAGAAAGGGACGGCUAACUACGUG
This 498-nucleotide ribosomal RNA is filed under the name uncultured bacterium. RNAcentral describes it as "partial 16S ribosomal RNA". It matches the Rfam family "Bacterial small subunit ribosomal RNA", at positions 27 to 507 of the family's 1533-position model. The record is from RNAcentral.